CCCACCUGACUCCAUUCCGAACUCAGAAGUGAAACGAAAUAGCGCCGAUGGUAGUGUGGGGUUUCCCCAUGUGAGAGUAGGACAUCGCCAGGC
This 93-nucleotide ribosomal RNA is filed under the name Vibrio parahaemolyticus. Lineage: Bacteria; Pseudomonadati; Pseudomonadota; Gammaproteobacteria; Vibrionales; Vibrionaceae. The record is from RNAcentral.